This 253-nucleotide ribosomal RNA is filed under the name uncultured bacterium. RNAcentral's name for it is "partial 16S ribosomal RNA". It matches the Rfam family "Bacterial small subunit ribosomal RNA", at positions 524 to 776 of the family's 1533-position model. The record is from RNAcentral.
UACAGAGGGCUCAAGCGUUGUUCGGAUUCAUUGGGCGUAAAGGGUGCGUAGGCGGCGCGGUAAGUCGGGUGUGAAAUCUUGGAGCUUAACUCCGAAACUGCAUUCGAUACUGCCGUGCUUGAGGACUGGAGAGGAGACUGGAAUUUACGGUGUAGCGGUGAAAUGCGUAGAUAUCGGAAGGAAGACCAGUGGCGAAGGCGGGUCUCUGGACAGUUCCUGACGCUGAGGCACGAAGGUCAGGGGAGCAAACGGG